GGAUCAGUUUGUAAAGGUCAACUUUGAUGUAGCCUAUGAUGGGAACCUACGGCAAUUGGCAGCGGGAAUUGUGGCCAGGGAUAGCGAAGGAAAUACUCUUUUAUCAUGUACAGUGAUUCAUCAUCAAGUCGCAUCAGCUUUCGCUGUAGAAGCAAUAGCUUGCCGGAUAGCAACUCAAAUAGGCAGGGACAUGCAAUAGCCAAACAUUAUUAUUGAAGGGGAUGCAUUAUCAAUUAUAAAGAAGUGCAAACUAAAAAGUUAUGAUAAAUCUAUGAUCGGAGCAUAUAUCCAAGAUAUACAUCAGCUACUGGAAAAAUCUGGAAAAUGCUAUUUUGAGAACAUUCCCAGAGAAGCGAACAGCUUGGCACAUAAACUAGCGACGGAGACAUUAAAGAAAAAAGAAGAGUCUUACCUGAUUGGAAGAGUCCCGGGGUAUGCUGAGAACCUGGAAGAAACUGAAAAAAGGGCAGGAACAAAUGUGGAGAAGAAAUGAAAGGUUAUAGAAAAAAGCAGCUGUAUAGUGGAAAUUCAAAGGCGUGGUGGACAAGGCUUCAUUGAAAUCUGGAAACGUCUCAUUGAUGAAAUGAAAGAUGAUUUUGAAAGAGGGAAAUGGAUUUUUCUGAUUGGGCAAGAU
RNAcentral lists this long non-coding RNA (634 nucleotides) under Gossypium barbadense (sea-island cotton). Its description in RNAcentral is "long non-coding RNA (GBAR_LNC022311)". Lineage: Eukaryota; Viridiplantae; Streptophyta; Magnoliopsida; Malvales; Malvaceae. The record is from RNAcentral.